This 456-nucleotide ribosomal RNA is filed under the name uncultured bacterium. RNAcentral's name for it is "bacterial SSU rRNA". It matches the Rfam family "Bacterial small subunit ribosomal RNA", at positions 28 to 474 of the family's 1533-position model. The record is from RNAcentral.
GAUGAACGCUAGCGGCAGGCUUAACACAUGCAAGUCGAGGGGCAGCAUGAUCGAACUUUCGGGUUUGAUUGAUGGCGACCGGCGCAAGGGUGCGUAACGCGUGAGCAACUUGCCCUCAUCAGGGGAAUAACCGUUGGAAACGACGACUAAUACCCCAUAGCACAUAUUUAAGGCAUCUUUUAUAUGUUAAAGAAUUUCGGAUGAGGAUAGGCUCGCGUGACAUUAGCUAGAUGGCGGGGUAACGGCCCACCAUGGCGACGAUGUCUAGGGGUUCUGAGAGGAAGGUCCCCCACACUGGAACUGAGACACGGUCCAGACUCCUACGGGAGGCAGCAGUGAGGAAUAUUGGUCAAUGGUCUGACGACUGAACCAGCCAUGCCGCGUGAAGGAGACGGCCCUAUGGGUCUUAAACUUCUUUUGUAAGGAGCAAUAAGGNGUACGUGUACAUCGAUGAGA